Molecule: long non-coding RNA, 907 nt
Organism: Acipenser ruthenus (sterlet)
Lineage: Eukaryota; Metazoa; Chordata; Actinopteri; Acipenseriformes; Acipenseridae
Exons: 3
Source: RefSeq, a predicted model, not a curated record
AUGCCUAUGUUUUUGACCGAAAUAAAAGAGAUUUUGCAUAGAUCCAUGAACAAUAUCAGACGUUCAUCAACUCCAGAAGUGGAUCCUCCAACUACACCAAAAUCAGGAAAUUCAAUGAAGACCGGAAACCCAACCCAGGUUCUUGACAAGGUAGAAAUAUAUCCAGGUACUGGGGUGUUCUGUGACAAACUUGUGUGGGCUUUAGCCAACAAUUCACACACAGCAACAUCAUUUGUGCGCACUCUUCUUGUGAAUCUAUUCCCUUUAGAUGUUUUGCUGAAAAGUAACUUGAGAGGGAGGAGCAAAGACACCACAGAGCACAGACCUGCAUUAGAUGCAACAAAGAUUGAUGCCAUCUACAGAGCAACUUUGCAGAAGUGGCAUAAUACCCCACAGGCUGUUAUUGGCUCAGCAAUCAAUGGCAAGUUGGCUGAACUUCGCAAUAAAAGUAAACAAAAACUACAGCAUACAUGGACUCAAAGUGAGGGAGAUGUGAGCACUGAAUGAGUAUGUCAUAAUGUAGCCUUGAUUUAAUAGGAAUCCAAAUAAUUCCAGUUCUUCCAUUUCUCAUUACAUGUUACAGUUCCUAUUUGUGUUUUGCAAAUGGCAUGUAAGGUAUAAGGAGUUUGUGUAUAACAUGUUUGAUAAAUAAUUUCAAUCUGUUAUUUGCACACACACAAAAAAUAAUAUGUGGUAUAAUGUACACCAUUGUUUAACUUGGCUAUUUUGUAUAAGCUUUUCCAACAUGAUUAUAUGUUUUUGUCAUGUUAGGUUGCUUGUUGUUGUUCUUGGAAUAUUACUUUUUUUAUUUUUAUCAAACCUUACUAUUUUGAGUCUACCACUAUUGGAAGAGAAGCCAUUUAGAGAUGGCCCUAAGUUGUCCUAAAAACAGCCAGUGUAAACGCAC